This 165-nucleotide ribosomal RNA is filed under the name uncultured bacterium. Its description in RNAcentral is "partial 16S rRNA". It matches the Rfam family "Bacterial small subunit ribosomal RNA", at positions 354 to 511 of the family's 1533-position model. The record is from RNAcentral.
UAGGGGAAUCUUCCACAAUGGACGAAAGUCUGAUGGAGCAACGCCGCGUGAGUGAAGAAGGGUUUCGGCUCGUAAAACACUGUUGUAAGAGAAGAAUGACAUUGAGAGUAACUGUUCAAUGUGUGACGGUAUCUUACCAGAAAGGAACGGCUAAAUACGUGCCAG